AAAGAACCCUGUGUAGCUGGGCAGAGAAACUUGAGGGAGGCAGCUCACUGCGCAGACUCCCUGAUGCCACAGACCUGACAGCUGCGGGAAGGUGACGUCACCGUCUGUGACCCCCCCCCCCACAGAACUAAGAAAACAAACAUGUCACGUGUAGACAGGUAGCAGAACCACUUCCUAGGUGCUCUUUUCCAAAAUGAUCAUCUUCAUCAGCAGUCUUCCUCCGGAUGAAGGUGUCCCCAGGACCUGUUCCAACGUGCUACUUCACUCUCCCAGGCAGUGCCCCUGAGGGCGUGAGGUCUCCUUCCCAUCACUCCCAGCUUCCGAGCAUGUGUUCCUCUCCUUCGGUCCACUGCUGAGCUGUCCCUCGGGUCACUGAAGCACAGAGGCCAGCCCAGACUUCAAUAGCCAGCCCAGACCCUCCACUGGUCCGGCAAGGGGCGGUCAAGCCCCGAGGACAAAGGGUCAUGCAGUCUGACAGCUUGAGAACGGCAUUGUGGGUGACUCAGCCGUUUCAGUGCUGCAGAGCGCGAGUAUGUGUUUGUAUACAUGCUGCAGCUUUUACCCCACGGCAGGGCUCUCCAUUGAAGGCCAGAAUAUUGUGGGUUCAGAUGGCAGCUGGAUCACUGCUAUUGUAUCCUAAGAACAAGGCCCUCACUACGAUUACUUCAGGAAAAUAAGCAAGGUAAAUGGAUGCAAACCAGGGUCGGUUUAGAUAAGGGAAUCUCUCACAUUAAUAAUAUUUAAUAAUUCUACAGAUAGCUUUUGUAUGCUUCACAUCAAGUGACUGUUUACUUAUCUGUGGUCUGUGUCACAAAGAGAAACAGGCCAGUGUUCGAUAUAUACAUAGUGUUGUUUUAUAGUCAUAGUUUUCUUGAAAAGCACCCUUUGAUGAAGUAUAAGCGUCCUAGAAUGGCUUGCCAACAAAAACCAAAUUGCUUUUUACAUGAAAAUAAUUAGUGUACAAACAGAGAAACAUUUGACUUCAGAAAACAACUGAUGGGUCCAUUUAUACUUUCCCAUUGUCCCACUGCCUUGAGUGCUGCGGUUGCUAAAUCUGGCUUGCUGCUCACUAGCUCUCUUCUAGUUAAUAAAAAGUGUCAUAUUCUGUUA
Long non-coding RNA from Lepisosteus oculatus (spotted gar), 1110 nucleotides. RefSeq lists it as uncharacterized. The record is from RefSeq and is a predicted model, not a curated record. Lineage: Eukaryota; Metazoa; Chordata; Actinopteri; Semionotiformes; Lepisosteidae.